Molecule: non-coding RNA, 552 nt
Organism: Labrus bergylta (ballan wrasse)
Lineage: Eukaryota; Metazoa; Chordata; Actinopteri; Labriformes; Labridae
Source: RefSeq, a predicted model, not a curated record
GGAGGGAGACGAGGUGACUGAGCUCCCUCUCUUUCUCUCUCGCAGUGUUAUUUUUCUCCUCCUCUCCCUCAGCGGUGAGUGUGUGGAGAGAUCUUUUCUUUUUUUUUGCAGUGGAAGAGCAGCAGGAGGAGGUGUAGACUUCAGCUGGUGCAUAAUAGAACAAGGGGAAGUAAAGAAAAAGAAGAAGAAGAAGAAGAAGAAGAGGAAAGAAAGACAAGAGAGGAAGACUUCUCCCUCCUCCUCUGAAACAUGCCCUCCUCUGCAAACGACUUUUUCCUCAGAAGUAACGGGGGUACCAACUUCAAAAGGCAGUGAAGGAAGGAGCUGGAGAGUGAAAUGUGAGAAGAGAUAGAAGAUGAGAGGCUGACCGCUGCUGUGUUUGCUGUGUGUGCAGGAGCUGAUGUGACAGACUGGAACCCACACAUGACACCUGACAGUAAUCUAGAUUGGUGUGGACUGUUGAAGGUUUGCGAGGGGAAACACAAAAGGUAAGGCAAUUACCUUCACCAAAUUGAAUGGCUGCAUAACUCUCUGGAUGGCUUUUUAUCUCAA